This 725-nucleotide ribosomal RNA is filed under the name uncultured fungus. Its description in RNAcentral is "SSU rRNA". It matches the Rfam family "Eukaryotic small subunit ribosomal RNA", at positions 376 to 1102 of the family's 1831-position model. The record is from RNAcentral. Lineage: Eukaryota; Fungi.
CACGACACCGGAGAGGGAGCCUGAGAAACGGCUACCACAUCCAAGGAUGGCAGCAGGCGCGCAAAUUACCCAAUCCCGACACGGGGAGGUAGUGACAAUAAAUAACAAUACGGGGUUCUUUAGGAUCUCGUAAUUGGAAUGAGUACAAUUUAAAUCUCUUAACGAGGAACAAUUGGAGGGCAAGUCUGGUGCCAGCAGCCGCGGUAAUUCCAGCUCCAAUAGCGUAUAUUAAAGUUGUUGCAGUUAAAAAGCUCGUAGUUGAAUUUCGGGGUUAGUAGGUUGGUCAUGCCUCUGGUAUGUACUGGUCUCACUGAUUCCUCCUUCCUUAUGAACCGUAAUGCCAUUAAUUUGGUGUUGCGGGGAAUUUGGACUGUUACUUUGAAAAAAUUAGAGUGUUUAAAGCAAGCUAACGCUUGAAUACAUUAGCAUGGAAUAAUGAAAUAGGACGUUCGAUCUUAUUUUGUUGGUUUCUAGGAUUGACGUAAUGAUUAAUAGGGAUAGUUGGGGGCAUUAGUAUUCAAUUGUCAGAGGUGAAAUUCUUGGAUUUAUUGAAGACUAACUACUGCGAAAGCAUUUGCCAAGGAUGUUUUCAUUAAUCAAGAACGAAAGUUAGGGGAUCGAAGACGAUCAGAUACCGUCGUAGUCUUAACCAUAAACUAUGCCGACUAGGGAUCGGAUGAUGUUAAUUUUUUAAUGACUCAUUCGGCGCCUUACGGGAAACCAAA